Molecule: ribosomal RNA, 478 nt
Filed under: uncultured bacterium
Lineage: Bacteria
Description: partial 16S ribosomal RNA
Rfam family: Bacterial small subunit ribosomal RNA
Source: RNAcentral
GACGAACGCUGGCGGCGUGCUUAACACAUGCAAGUCGAACGGUAAGGCCCUUCGGGGUACACGAGUGGCGAACGGGUGAGUAACACGUGGGUGAUCUGCCCUGCACUUCGGGAUAAGCCUGGGAAACUGGGUCUAAUACCGGAUAGGACCACUGCCUGCAUGGGUGGUGGUGGAAAGCUUUUGCGGUGUGGGAUGGGCCCGCGGCCUAUCAGCGUGUUGGUGGCGUGAUGGCCUACCAGGGCGACGACGGGUAGCCGGCCUGAGAGGGUGACCGGCCAUCCUGGGACUGAGUGACAGCCCAGACUCCUACGGGAGGCAGCAGUGGUGAAUAUUGCACAAUGGGCGCAAGCCUGAUGCAGCGACGCCGCGGGAGGGAUGACGGCCUUCGGGUUGUAAACCUCUUUCAGCACCGACGAAGCGCAAGUGACGGUAGGUGCAGAAGAAGGACCGGCCAUCUACGUGCCAGCCGCCGCCGUAA